GAUAUUCCAAACUAAGGAUAUGUGUAAUGGCACAACUAGGUCAGGGAAGUCCGGCAUAAAUAAACAGUUUGAAUGACCACAUUUUUGUUUGUUUGAGAGCCCUUCUACACAGCCAUAUAACCCAGCAUAUUGAGGCAGAAAAUCCCACAAGAUUUGCUUUGAACUGCCAUAUAUUCCAGUUCAAAGCAGAAAACGUGGGAUUUUAUUCAGCUGUGUGGAAGGGGACUGAAAGUAGCAGAUUCGCCAUCAGUACUUUUCAAGAUGCAUUGCCUUGUAUUGGAUUUUAGCGUUCAAAAGUUACCUAUGUAGCAGUUUAGGCUUUCAAUUUCUAAUGUAAAUAUAAUUCAUGCCUUAGCUUAUGAAUGAUUAACUACCUGUGCCUGACUUCCCUAUCUCUGAAUCUGCACUAUGGGAGCCGCAUUUGAAUGUAUAUUGACAUGCCUGUUUUCCAAGAUAGGAACCUGCAACUUAUUGAUAGAUCACUUGCUUUGCUUGCAAAAAAAAUAAUAAUAAUAAUACCAGGUUCAGUCACGGCAUCUCAAGAGGAGGCUGAGAAAAAAAACCUUUUUACUUGGAAGGCUGGAGGGUGCAUGAAUGAAUUGUAUUGUAAAUUUCUGGGUAUCUAUCUUCCCGUUUCUCACAGAUGCUCUUGCAACUCCACAUCCAAGAUGCGGUGCUUAAUGGCGGAUUUGGCAUUGUCAUAUCCAAGUGUUAUUAAAGUUUGAAUUAACACCAUGAAAUCUCUUGCGGAGAGACAUUGACUCGACAAGACAAGUGAGCUUCCUGCACAUGACUUUUAUUAGAACUGAGCGCGAGAUGAAGCAUUUCAGAUCAGCAGAACAAAAACUAAAAGAGAACGAAAGCUUCUUCCCGAAAGCAGUUUGCAACGGCAGAAUCAAGCAGCGAGUGCAGUUGGCUUCUGAAAUUUCACUUGGCAAAAACGAGCGCUCUAAAGGUAAAUACUGACUUCCAGGUCUGUUAAAGGGAAGUCAGCCUUGAAAGUCAACAUUGAGGAAUGAUUAACUAAAGGCCAACUUCGGUAGGUAGGCCAGCUAUUUUAUAUAAGUGUAUUGUCGCUCCAAACUAAAAUACCCCCAUUGUCUUUAA
This is a long non-coding RNA of Anolis carolinensis (green anole), 1107 nucleotides long. RefSeq lists it as uncharacterized. The record is from RefSeq and is a predicted model, not a curated record. NCBI's taxonomy places the organism in Eukaryota, Metazoa, Chordata, Lepidosauria, Squamata, Anolidae. The transcript has 2 exons.